Corvus hawaiiensis (hawaiian crow) is the source of this 1906-nucleotide long non-coding RNA. RefSeq lists it as uncharacterized. The record is from RefSeq and is a predicted model, not a curated record. NCBI's taxonomy places the organism in Eukaryota, Metazoa, Chordata, Aves, Passeriformes, Corvidae. The transcript has 2 exons.
UUCUUUGAAGCUUCUUCUCCUUCUUCUACCGCUCCGUAUUUUGCAGUAAAAAGUAGUUUGGGAUGAUUGGAUGGAAAAUUCCGCAGUUCCUGCCCGUGUUACUGAAUAAUUGGUAGGAAAGUGAAAACAACGUACGUUUUUAGUGACUAUUGGUUAGAAUAUCUUCAAAAGGCCGUGUAAAUCUCGAUAAUUGCUCUCACUCCUCCUUUUGCUCCUUCCAUGCUGCACCUGGGUCGCGCUUGGUGGCUCAGUUCCUCUGAUAAGACUCAAUAAAAACUCUCCGGAAGCAUCGGAACUCCAGGAAAAGCCUGGGUUUCUCUUUUGUUAUGAAGCUUUUCUGAUGCUGGGUUUAUUUUCAUGGUCCUCAAUGUCCGGAAACCUUCCCGAGGCUCUGUAAUGUCACACGUGGCACAGGAUGUGUGCAUUUGGGCCUGGUUUAAGGGAUUCCGACCUGAAUUAAGGGAUUCCGACCUGAAUUAAGGGAUUUAGACUGGGUUUAAGGGAUUCCGACCUGAAUUAAGGGAUUUAGACUGGGUUUAAGGGAUUCGGACCCGGUUUAAGGGAUUCCGACCUGAAUUAAGGGAUUUAGACUGGGUUUAAGGGAUUCGGACCCGGUUUAAGGGAUUCCGACCUGAAUUAAGGGAUUUAGACUGGGUUUAAGGGAUUCGGACCCGGUUUAAGGGAUUCCGACCUGAAUUAAGGGAUUUAGACUGGGUUUAAGGGAUUCGGACCCGGUUUAAGGGAUUCCGACCUGAAUUAAGGGAUUUAGACCUGGUUUAAGGGAUUCGGACGUGGUUUAAGGGAUUCAGACCCGGUUUAAGGGAUUCCGACCUGAAUUAAGGGAUUCCGAGGUGAAUUAAGGGAUUCAGACCUGGUUUAAGGGAUUUGGACCUGAAUUAAGGGAUUCAGACCUGGUUUAAGGGAUUUGGACAUGGUUUAAGGGAUUCCGGCCUGAAUUAAGGGAUUUAGACCUGGUUUAAGGGAUUCAGACCCGGUUUAAGGGAUUCCGACCUGAAUUAAGGGAUUUAGACCUGGUUUAAGGGAUUCAGACCUGGAUUAAGGAUUUGGAUCUGAUUUAAGGGAUUUGGACCCGGUUUAAGGGAUUCAGACCCGGUUUAAGGGAUUCUGACCUGGUUUAAAGGAUGCCGACCUGGUUUCAGGAUUCAGACCCGAAUUAAGGGAUUCAGACCCGAAUUAAGGGAUUCCGACCUGGUUUAAAGGAUUCCGACCUGGUUUAAGGGAUUCCGACCUGGUUUCAGGGAUUCGGACCCGAAUUAAGGGAUUCCGACCUGGUUUCAGGGAUUCGGACCCGAAUUAAGGGAUUCAGACCUGGUUUCAGGGAUUCGGACCCGAAUUAAGGGAUUCAGACCUGGUUUCAGGGAUUCAGACCCGAAUUAAGGGAUUCAGACCUGGUUUCAGGGAUUCAGACCCGAAUUAAGGGAUUCAGACCUGGUUUCAGCGAUUCUGACCCAAAUUAAGGGAUUCAGACCUGGUUUCAGCGAUUCUGACCCGAAUUAAGGGAUUCAGACCUGGUUUCAGGGAUUCGGACCCGAAUUAAGGCACUUUUCUCCAAAGACCAAGGUGGAAACCAGCCUUGUCCGGGGGCUCGGAACCCUUCGCAAGAGGCAGAGAAACCUUCGCGGGGUUCUGAAGUUCGCGGGGGGGGUUGGUUUUUUUCCCCUUUUUUCCCUCUCUGCUGGGCGGUUUCAACAUCAGAACGCACCGGGAGGAACCCAAAAACCCAGCGCCCCGUCCCGGCUGCGGGGAGGGGGGAGAUCUGCGGAAGGAUCCUGCAACUUUCCCGGUUUUCUUUCAGCACAGCGAGAGGUUCCGUCAUUCGGCGCCGUUAUCCUUUUCCUGCGCGCUCGUGAAAUAAAGAGCUUUUAUCUCUUUGGCUUUCCUCCGA